GGGCCGUUAGCUCAACAGGUAGAGCAACUGACUCUUAAUCAGUAGGUUCGGGGUUCGAGUCCCUGACGGCUCA
Molecule: transfer RNA, 73 nt
Filed under: Deltaproteobacteria bacterium
Lineage: Bacteria; Pseudomonadati; Myxococcota; Myxococcia
Description: tRNA-Lys
Rfam family: tRNA
About the family: Transfer RNA (tRNA) molecules are approximately 80 nucleotides in length. Their secondary structure includes four short double-helical elements and three loops (D, anti-codon, and T loops).
Source: RNAcentral